This 384-nucleotide ribosomal RNA is filed under the name uncultured bacterium. Its description in RNAcentral is "bacterial SSU rRNA". It matches the Rfam family "Bacterial small subunit ribosomal RNA", at positions 29 to 415 of the family's 1533-position model. The record is from RNAcentral.
AUUGAACGCUGGCAGCAUGCCUUACACAUGCAAGUCGAACGGUAACGCGGGGCAACCUGGCGACGAGUGGCGAACGGGUGAGUAAUACAUCGGAACGUGCCCAGUAGUGGGGGAUAGCCCGGCGAAAGCCGGAUUAAUACCGCAUACGACCUACGGGUGAAAGCAGGGGAUCGCAAGACCUUGCGCUAUUGGAGCGGGCCGAUGUCAGAUUAGGUUGUUGGUGGGGUAAAAGCCUACCAAGCCGACGAUCUGUAGCUGGUCUGAGAGGACGACCAGCCACACUGGGACUGAGACACGGCCCAGACUCCUACGGGAGGCAGCAGUGGGGAAUUUUGGACAAUGGGCGCAAGCCUGAUCCAGCCAUGCCGCGUGCGGGAAGAAGGG